Molecule: RNA transcript, 4646 nt
Organism: Pomacea canaliculata
Lineage: Eukaryota; Metazoa; Mollusca; Gastropoda; Architaenioglossa; Ampullariidae
Exons: 8
Source: RefSeq, a predicted model, not a curated record
ACAUGUUUUUCUACUUUUUACACAUCCAAUUAAUUAAAAGUAAAAAUAGCUCCAUCAAAAUUUAUUUCUGGCUAAAGAUAGCAGCUACCGUUACCUUGUCACUCUGAACAAUUAAAACUGGAUUAAAGACUGAAAAAAGAAAACAUACAAAGAAAAGAACUUGGUAAGCACUAUCAAACUCUUAUUCCAAAAAAAAAUUUAAAAAAAUCAUCAAUUAAAUAACAAAACUUAAAAUAAAUUACUGGGGGUGCAGCUGGGGCAGUAAGUUUUAAACAACACUGGAAAAAAGAGAAUGAAUUAAGAAUAACAAAGUUAUUGCUAAUUAACAGGAAAUAACUCCUCUAUAAUACUAACAGAAGUAUCUACCACUUUUUUUUAAAACUCUCUUUUCAAAAAACACUAGAUGACAAGAAUUUUUGAAUAAAAGACCAAUUUAAGUUGACGUUUUCCACAUACAAAUUUUUUUUAAUGAAGCAAUAAUUAAGGCAGAGUAUUGUCCCCUACUUAACUUACCAGUCAUAAUGUCUUUGCCUCCCCGUUUCCAUAUCUUAGUGCUUUCAAAGAAAAUUACAAAGUGCUAAACUAAAAAUAUCACAAGUAGCUGUUAACCCUUUUGAAAAGAAAUAGCACAGCCUUAGUAGUAAAUCUCUUUUCUUCAAAGUGAGCAUUGCUCCAUGACAAAUGAUAUCUCCCUCUGUGUUCUGCACAUGCGAACAAUUUCCUGAAUUUUAAGCCACACCUCUUUCAGUAAGAGAGAUGCCAUGAUGGGCACUGGUAGAGGAUAGCUUUGUUUCUCAAACACACAUUGCAAGGAACAAUUUACUGAUUCUUUUCACAGCUACAAUCAGCAUUUCAGGAUUUCAAAAAAGGAACGAAUAUCAAGGAAGGAUUAACACGUUGUCUUCAUAUCUGACAGCAAAAAAAAAAAAAAAAAAAGGCAUCGCAUGUGAGAAAACACAAAAGUUUUACUCAAGGCAUGGCAUGGAAGGCCCAGAAAGAAUUCUUAAUUAUUCGCACGAGAAAAAAGCAUCAUAAGAAUGCUGAAUUAAUAUUUGCACUGAGUUAGUAAAUUUUAAUUUAGUGUAGUCAGUUUUAAGAACAUUCCAGACAGAGUUUUAAAAUUCAAAGAAAAGUUUUACAAUGCUGAUUGAAAUUAUUUUGAUAUGCAGAUCCAAAGAGAAGACAUUAUACUGGUGGAGGGAGGGGUUAAAGAAAAUUUAAAUGGUCAUUGCAUGGCCUAGCCUCUAAGAAACCAAAAUCUAUUUUUCUUUCUAAUAUAACUAAAAAGGAAAGGAAAAAAUUGACAACUUAAAUUAUAAGCUAUAUUAUGUCAGUGUUUUAUGAGAUUAUGUUUCUUAAUCCUUUUAUCUUUUUUGCUAUAUUUGUGAUAAAAAUGACAAUAGUAUAAAUCAUAACUAACAAUUCACAAAAACAUGAAUAAUAAGCAUGGAUAAGAUUAUCUUGCCAACUGGAUCUCUCUUUACUCAACCACCUAUUUAUUUCAACAUAAAAUACAAGACAUAAGUUACAUAAAAGAUAUGCCUCCAAUUUAUUUUUGUAAAAUUUUAAAACUAAGCCUUCUCUCGCUCCAGCCACUGAAAUAUUUAGGGACUCAAAUAUUUGGUGUUCAGGUUAUACGUUGUGUUAUGGAAGAAGAGUUAUUUUUAUCUGCAACCAGUCUCAGAGGAGACAUGUGAAUGUAUGACACAACCCACUUUAAAAUGCAUCACAACAUAACAUGCAAAGGAAUUAAAGCUCAUUAGAGGUUGUGAAUCUUUAAUUACUGAUAAAACAUUGAAGCAUCAUUGAUACAAUUUAAUGUUUAGCAAAAACCAAUAAUAAAGCUUCAUGCCUACUUUGAUAAUAGCAUAGGUCAGAUUAGAAUAGUUGGCCAGCAUGACCUUCAAGUCUUUUAGUGUCACUAGGUGAUAGAAAUAACAGUUAACCUAGGGAGUGUUUUAGUUAGCUGGUGCUAGAGGAAAAUGAAGUUUAGGUUAGAAAAGGAAACAUCAGCAUUGAGAAACCUCCUAUGCACACUGAUGGCUGUGAGAAACAGGAUCAUGAUACCAGGUGCAGUUGGGAUUCAGCUACUGUUAUGUAGAUGAGGUCACGGUGGAUGAUGCGGUUGCUGUGCAGGAAGUCCACACCAUUAACCAGCUGUAGCAUCAGGUCCUGCAAUAGAAGAUUGUACUAAGAAGUUUAAAUGGGCAAAGCUGUGGCUGAUGGUGCCUACUAUUAUAAGAAAGUAUUGGUGUACACACCCGAAUUCGAUCUGGGCCAAGGCCUGGGGACGGACAUUUCUGGAGGGCACUUUUGCCACUGCUGUAUAACUACGACCCCAGGGAUAAAUCAACAUUCACAGGGACCUUCACUAUUUCUCCACAAUGCGGGACUGAAAAGGUGUCUACCAUACUGGCAGUCCAGAAGAUCUACAAAUAUGUGGUAUCCACACUGAGAUGCCAAGCCAGUGCUUUUGAUAUUGAUUCUGAUUCCUCAGCUCUUCACCUUACACACACCAACAUCCAUGGGAUAGCAUCUGGAAACCUGUUCAUGAUUUACUUUUUAAGUCAAAGUCAGAAUAGCAGUGGUAAGUGAUAUACAAAUCAAUGUGUUCUUCAAUACGAAGUAGUUGACACAUUUCUCUGAGUAAUAUUUGACAUCACUGAUAAGAGCCUCCAUCAGAAAAAUCAACCAAUGAGAGAGCCAAGAGGACAAUCACCUGCUGGAGCUGCUAUGAUUAGACAAGCAAGAGCGCUUUUCAUUGCCCUUUUUUGGGGGGAAAUUCAAGCAUCACAAGGACUGUCAGCUCAUGCACUAUCUCCUUAAGGUUCAAGGCCUUCCAAGAUCAUGUCAACCAUAAUUGUAAACAUAAAGCACACAGCCUGCAGAUGCACCAAAUGUGAUGUAUUUUCUGCUGUACUUUUCAAUAGACCAUACCAGUUCUACAUUCAUCUCCUUCCACAGCCCGUCUUCCGUAAACCAUGUUGAUGGUGCUAUCUACCAUCAGGGCCUUUGUACAAGUGCUGUCAGUAAUAGCCACAGUCCCUUUGGUGAACAGGUUAAAGUUUACUAUCAAUACCCUCUUGUUAUGGUCAUAAAUCACUCAAAUAUAGUUGAAUAUAGUAUUAGUGAUUGUAGUAGCCACAAUUUCACACACCCACCACUAUUUUUUGAUAAAUUACACACUUAUUCAUUCAGUCCUUCUUGUACAUUCAAAAGAUAAUGGUCUUAUUUGUUAUCUUGCCAUUAUCUCACCAACCCCUCCUCUCGCCACGCUUUGUGACAGAAUGGAUGUCCAAAACUCUAAACGUUACCCCACCUAUGGACUCUAUACCCUUUUUACAUUUUCACACUUAACACUUGCGUUGAAUGCAAGAUAAUAAAUUUGGACUGUACUUACAUGUCUCAUAAACUAUAUAUAUAUAGAGAGAGAGAAUGUACCUCAACUGUCUGACCUGCAACUAAUGUUUAUAUUUUCGCUUUACGAUGUCUCAGCAGAUUUCAAUUUUAAUUUGAUCGAAUUAAAUUUUUUUGUAUCAACAGUGAAAAUUAAGCAUCAUUCAAAACAGCUCUUUAUCUACUGCACCUAAGACUACAGAAGCACCUGAACGUUUUUUUGUUAUUUUUUAGAUGGUCCUGAAAGGCCUCUAUAAAGUCUAAUUAGGAAUUUAAAUAACAAUACGAGUCUAGUCAAAACAUAUUUGCAAUGAAAAUAUAAUACAGCUAAGAAUUGUAUUUCCGGUUUCUAUGCUCUACUGGGGGUUAGGAACAAGGAGGAGAAGAACUGUAUUUGUAACAUGUACAAAAAGAAAUUACACAUUUUAAAACAAAAUUCUCUGGUUGUUUUGCAAAGAAAAAAACCCUUGCUAUUUCUUCACACACUCUGAAUUUUAAAAGAAUUUGUUCCAACAGUACAUUUAUUGCAUAUGUUCAAAUGAAGGCAUUAUAAAUCACAUAUCUGUAUGCAUGUAGACACUGACUACAGGACAAUUUUAUGAAAAUAGACACAAUAAAAAAUUUUACAAAAUAAAAUUAAAGGAUUUCCUACCAUUUAAAAAAAAAGUUGAUGGACAGACCAAAGAAACGUAAAAAACUUGGGUCCUGCCGUGGCUGUACCUCUAAAUGGUGAUUCAAAUAAACUAAAAGCAAAUUAGAAAACUGAUAAUCGCUAAAUAAAGUGCUUACACAUAUAAUUUUUAAAUUACCCCUCCCCCAAAAUCAUAAAAUAUAAGAGAUCUGUAAUAGUGUGAUCCAUAUUUUAUAAAUAUUGUAUAAAUAUAUCAAAUUUACAUACUGAUUUAGAUUUAUCAGAUGUUUGGUAAUAGUGCCUGUGAUACCUGAUUUAUAUUGUAAAGAGGGAAAAUCAAUAAAAUAUAGUGCAAUGCUAUUAAAACACAAUGCUAUUUUUGUACAGCUUUCUAAGGUUUGUGAGGCAGCUAUUAUCAUCCAUAAGAAAAAGUGCGAUAAUAACUGAAAAUUAACAUCGUCCGUGUAGCAUUAUGUCUUUACGACUCUGACGCUCAAUUAAACACUGCAAUAUAUUUGAAAAUAUUGCUGUUUACUGAGUGUUGCGCUGGGCCGAUGCUUUCAAGGGGACAAAGAAUUAAAAGAAAAAAAAAAUUGGAAAUCGCACAAAGCUGCUAUGA